CAAAUAUUUCCAUAUCAGGGUCCUGGGUUCCUUAAUCUAAUCUGCUACUCUCUCUCUCUCUCUCCCCAUGUUGUGUGUCUUUCCCUCCAAAAUCAGGAGGUAGGCAAUUCUUCCAUUCCCCCUUACUUUUCUCUCAAAUUAAUUCGUUUAGAUUUUUAGUAUGAUGAUCAUUUGUUGCAUAAUUCACUUGAUAAUGAUAAUUUCAACUAUCUAGGUUAGUGAUCAUUCUAUUUUUUUUUUCCUUUCGUUGUUUUCUUUCUUGGAUGUGAGGGUCUGGAAAUUAAUUGUUCGAUUUUUCAGUUGUUCGUUCCAAUUAUGCUCAGUAAGUUCGAGAGUCUUUUACCAUUUACAUGAAGGAGAUAUAUAUCAUAUUUGAUCAUCCUGUGUAAGCCUAAUAAUUGAUCGAUUUCUCUGACAAAAUAAUAUAAUGUCAAGAAAAAUAUGGUGAAGUGUAUUUAAUUUUCGCAUGGUUCAUUAAUAAUUAAUUAAUAAACAUAAUACCUCCAUGACGAGCACGAGUUUAUUAAAGUUAGAAUUGUUGUUAUUACAGCUUGGCAGCAUGACUUUUGGUAACUCGAAGAAAACCACCAAAGGAAAGGGAAAAGAUUAGUAGUUUGAUUAUAAGUAGUGUGUUUAGCUCUUCGAAAAUGUAUUUUGCACUCCAACCUAGUGUAUAAAAUAAAAAUAUAUGUGCGGCAGAGAAUGUGGGUUUCAGACAUCGAAUUUAGAAAUUCAAGUCCCCGUUUUCAGUAAUAUUAGUACAAAUCGUUUAGUUUGCUAAUUAAAGGUUAUGGAAUUUUGACUGUGAUUGAAUAGAUUUGGUUAGUGGAUAUUGGUAAUUGUGGGUUCUUCUUGGAAAGACAAAAUUAAAUUAAAAGGACGAACUACGAAUGACUUGAUCCCUAUUAAGAGUACGUAGGCAGUCUAACAAGAGGUUAGCUGCAACCAUAAAGUGUACGACAAAUUACUACGUAAUUCAAGGCAUGGGAUGUGCUUGGUACUUAUUCUGGAGGCGGGUAUGUUAAAUAUAUGGUUAUCUGAUGAUGUCACAUGUAUAGAAACAGAAACUUCCUCAGUAAGUUUUCGAUUGUAUUUCACAGAAUAAUCAAUUACACAUGUAAGGAUAUAUAUAGCCUUUGGCCAUUUACAUUAAUACCCUUUAACUGCUUUAACUAAUCACUUAACUACCUUGACUAACCACAGCUAUUAACAAACUAAUUACAUUUUAGUUAUAACAAACUAUUUUUUAGUAGCUAUAGUGGAUGACUUGUCAUUCUCCCUAAUACACCCCCCUCAAGCUACAAGGGGAAUCAGAGUUGAUUCCAAUGGGAAGCUUGGAACACAGAUAAGCAAAUCUGCUUUUAGAUAGAGACUUGGUGUGAAGGUCAGCCAAUUGAUCUUCACUACAAACAAAUUGCACUUUAAUGAGUUUUGCCAGGACCAAUUCUCGAAUGUAGUGAUAGUUAAUCUCCACAUGCUUAGUUCGAGCAUGAAAGAUAGGAUUAGAUGCUAAGGAGAUUGCUGAGAUGUUGUCACACCAUAGUGUAGGCUGUGUAGGCAAUGGAAAAUGAAGAUCACGAAGGAUUUUGCUCACCCAAGUGAUUUCUGCAGCAGUGUGGGCUAAGGACCGAUAUUCAGCUUCGGUAGAUGAACGGGCAAUAGUGCUUUGUUUCUUGGCACUCCAGCUGAUGAGAUUAGGUCCAAGGAACACACAGUAUCCAUUAGUGGAAUGUCUAUCAAAGGUGCAGUCGACCCAAUCAGCAUUAGAGUAUGCCGAGAGAUGAACAGAGCCCUUGGUGAACCAUAAACCAUGUGAAAGAGAACCCUUAAGGAAUCUGAGAACUCGUUUGGCUGCUUGAAGAUGUUGGUCCCUUGGAGCAUGCAUAAAUUAUCUGGUUGACAGCAAAUGCAAGGUCCGGUCGAGUCCAAGUAAUAUUGUAAUCCACCAACUAUAGAACGAUAUUCAGUGGGAUUUGACAAGAGUGGCCCACUGUGAUCCAGUUUCUUGGAGCCAAGAGGUGUGCAACAAGGUUUUACACCUUCCACAUUGGUUUUCUUAAGAAGAUCAAGCAAAUACUUAGUUUGAUGAAGGAAAAUCCCUUUGGAUGAUCUGUGCACUUCUAAGCCCAAGAAAUAAUGUAAAGGACCAAGAUCCUUUACUGGAAAUCUAGCACUGAGUUGUUGAAUGAAUUGUUGAUAGAGUUGAGAGUUGGGGCCAGUAACAAGAAUAUCAUCAACAUAAACAAGAACAAUUACCAAUUCAGGACCGUUGAGAACAAACAAAGAAGCAUCAGAUGAAGAUUGUUUGAACCCAAGUUGUUGAAGAACUUGAAAGAAUUUAUCAAACCAAGCCUGAUGAGCUUGUUUGAGACCAUACAGAGAUUUCCUUAAUUUGCGAACAUAACUGGGAGAAAGAGGAUCAAUGAAGCCUGGAGGUUGUUGCAUGUAAACAUCUUCCUUUAAAUCUACAUGAAGGAAUGCAUUGCUGAUGUCUAAUUGGUUUAAAAACCAAUUAUAUUGAACAUCAAGUGUAAGAAGAAUCCGAAUUGUGACCGGUUUAGCAACUGGAUUGAAGGUUUCUUGAAAAUCAAUACUUUCUUAUUGAUGAAAGCCCUUUGCCACAAGGCGUGCUUUGUAUUUAUCAACAGUGCCAUCUGGCUUUUUCUUGACUCGAAAUACCCAUUUACAUCCAACAACAUUUUGGGAAGGAUGUGAGGGAACAAGGGACCAAGAUCCUAUGGACAGUAAAGCAUUAUAUUCAUCCUGCAUUGCAGCUCGCCAGUGAGCAUGCUUGGAUGCUUGUAAGUAAGUACUGGGAACAAAUUCAAGGUCAAUUGGAAGUGGAUGUUUUGUUGCUGCAUAAAUCCAAGGUUUGUAGAUCCUAGCCUUAGAUCGUGUAAUCAUAGGAUGUGUAUUGCUAGAAAUGAUGGGAUGACUUGGCUAAAUUGGUGGCAAGAUUGAAGAUUCUGAAGAAGGGAUUGAAGUUGUAGAAGUAUCCAUUGAAAUGGUUCCAGGGUAAGAGGAACUCGGAGUAGUAAGAACAUGUACAAAAUGACAUGGCGUUGAAGAUGUAUUACUAGGGGGAGAAUGAUGAGGAUAUGUGUUAAAAUGAAGAUCAAGUGAUGAAGAACACACUGGAGUUGAAUUAUCCGAACUUGGAUUCUGGAGUUGCAGAGACCUUCAUUGAACACUACAUGUCUUGAUAUGUAAAUUCUGUUGGUGAUGGGAUCAAGACAUCUAUAGCCUUUAUGUUGAAGGCUAUAUCCCAAGAACACACAGCUUUUGCUCUUAGUAUCUAAUUUGCUGUUGACAUAAGGUUUAAGCCAUGGAAAAAAUUGACAACCAAACACCUUGAGUUUAGAGUAAUUGGGGAUGUUGAUGAAACAGAAGUUCCCAAGGUGACUUUGAACAACCAAAGAUGUGAAGUCUAUUGAUAAGAUACAUGGCAGUGGAAAAGGCUUCAACCCAAAACGUAUGAGGCACAUGAGAAGCAACAAGUAAAGUUCGAGCUGUCUCAACAAGAUGCUUGUGCUUUCUCUCAGCAUAACCAUUUUGCUCAGGCGUGUGUGGACCGCUAUAUUGAUGUAAUAUACCAUGUGUACGAAGAAAUGUUGCAAAAGAAUGAGCAGUAAAUUCACCCCCUGAAUCUGAAUGCAGAACUUUGAUUUUAUUGCCAAGUAAGUUUUCUACAUAGGUUUUGAAGACAACAAAUGUAGAAAAAAUAUCGGACUUGGAUUUCAAUGGAAAGAACCAACUAUAUUUGCUAAAGUCAUCAACAAGUAGUAGAUAAUACUUGAAACCACUACUAGAUGUAACAGAGGCAAGUCCCCAUAAGUCACAGUGUAGAAGUUGAAGACUUUGAGUUGUUGAUGAAGACGACACUCCAAAUGGAAGCUUGUGAUUCUUAGCAAAACGAGCUUCAAAACUCUCUUAAUUUUGUACCCUUUGGUUCAGUUUUGAGCAUUCAAAAGUGAGCAUUAACUUGGUUGAUGAAAGCAGCUUUUUUUGUAGCUUAUGUGGAGAUAUGAGUGUUGUUUUUAACUUACUCAAUUCAUCUCCCAGUUUCUUUUAAAUUACCAUUGCCUUGUAUCAGUGUUGUUAUUGGCAUUAUAAGUUGUACUAAGAUUAUGUCUAUGCUAGGCAUGUUUAUAAUUUGUAAUUAGUUGCUUUGUUGCUUAGUAAUAUCCAUCAUUGGUGUCCGUUAUCAUUUGUUCAUGCUUUUAUAAAUUGGAUUAGGCUCGGGAGUUCUUAGAAACUUUGGAGGGUGUGUGUUAGCAAAGCUAGUUGAUACAUGGGAAGAAACAUAUAUGUUUACUAUGCACAUCAUGGGGGUUGAUUUAUGAUAUGUGGUGAUAAGAAGGCACCAUGUAUCAGUGUGGCUCAUGGGUGGUCCUGCCUGGUUAAUCCACAUCAGGGGACCACGCCAUGUGAUGUGUGAAUCUAUUGGAUCAAAUUACGUAGAGUUGUGGGCCCCACUGUCGAUUGAGAGUUGACUUUUGGUUACCAUGUCUCGAAUCGUUUAUAAAACUAAAAUUAGUAUUACUAGAAACUUAGUGAAGCUUUGUGGACUUGUCUCGGUGAGUGACUUUAAUAUAUGUGAUGUAGUUAAUACCCUGAAAACUCCCAUACUAGUAUACUUUGUGGAUACAACAUGGAUUUCUAAAAUAUGUUUAUGCUAAAUAAUUGUUUUUGUAAAGUUUGUCAUCGAUCUACCAUAUGAAGCAUUAUGUGACUUGGAUAUUUGAACUGUUGAUGGAUUGUGUUUAAAAAAAUAUAUUUGAUUGUUGAUAAACAUAAGGACUAGUAGAGGACCGUUACCCUAGUGCCACGGAGUUAGGUGAUACUGAGUCUACACCAUGUAGUAGUGGUACAUGGAUGGUCCUGCUUGGUUAAUCCGCAUUGGGGGACCAUAAUAUUUAUGGAUCUCAAUUGGUUAAUCCACGUUGGGCGAUCCUUAUGGCCAUUUAUACUUAGGGGUGAUCAUGCUUGGUUAAUCUGCAUUGGGUGAUCACUGCCUAACAGCUCUGUAGGUGUGACUCUGCUUGGUUAAUCCGUAUUGGGGAGUCACUACGUACUUGGUUAUCUUGACCCUGCUUGGUUAAUCCAUGUUGGGGGGUCACUAGUGGUCCUACCUUGUUAAUCCGCGUUGGGGGACCAUAUUAUAUAUGGGUCGUGCUUAGUUAAUUCGCGUUGGGUGAACCUUAUGGCCAUGUAUGCUUAGGAGUGAUCAUGCUUGGUUAAUCCGCAUUGGGUGAUCACUUCCUAACAACUGUAGGAGUGGCUCUGCUUGGUUAAUCCACUUUGGGGGGCCACUUCCUGUUUGGUUGCUUAUGUAGGCUUCGGCUGAACUGCGUCACUCUAGCCCUAGUUUUAAUGUACAUAUGAACGAUGAUUUUUGAGAAUCUUGUGGUUGAAUUAGAAAAGCAGUUGGAUGUCUGGGUGACUCAUUCGGAGAUUUCAAAGGAUUGGUAUUGAUUUCUUAUGAAUGUUUUAUAUUCAAGGUAUAUAAACUGUGAUUGAUGUUUGGUUUUAUUAUUGUUAUCAUAUACUUUGUAUUAUUAUCACUCACCCGAGUUUCGCAGCUUAUCCGAAUUUUGGUUGGCCAGUUCACCAUUCCCAUGAUGUUGGUACUGAUUAUACAUGUGAUAAGUCUGGGUAGAUUUCGAGAAAUUGCGUGAUAUUUUGGUUCCGUUGAGUGGUCCGGAUUCUUCGCUCUUGCUCAUUUUCAUAAAGUUAGUUCGACCCUAGAUUCGAGUGAGUAGGAAUUGCUCACAGUAGACAUUGUGUUUAUAAAUUUGAUAUUUACCUUAUUAUUAUUUGGAAUUCAUGCGGGGGAAUUAUGUUGAAUUCCCUUAUUAAAUUUCGAGAAGUGUUAUGUGAUCUUGAUGAUUGAUUAACGUAGUUAAAUGUUAAUAUUGUGCAUCUGUGAUUCAUGGACUGAUUAAUUAGAUGAUUGUGAAUUGAUUAGUACUUGUAUGGUUAAAUUAUUGUUAGAAGUCACAUUGCUCUCGUAUAUAGAUUAGUGAUGUGCUGGGCUAGAAUGAUGAUGUUAUGUUAUUCUUGUGAAUUGAAGUUGAAAUGUGUCAAACCCGAUGCUAACUAAAUUUGAGAACAAUUUGGAAGUGCAGAGAGUUUUGAAAAUUUCAAGGAUGAAAUUUUUUUUAAGGGGCGAAGGAUGUGAAAUCCCAUCCCCGGAAUUUCAUUAUUCAUUACAUAUCUCGUUAUUACAAACGACUAGGUACAUGCAUAGUGAAAAUUGGAACUUGGAACUAGAAAGAUUUUACAAAACAAGUAUCAAUUAUUUUAUUCAAAGUAGAGGGAAAAGAUAAUAUCAUUAGAUAUAAAAUAUUAAUGAUAGAAUAUAUAUUAAUAAUAAAAGAAGAAAGAGAGAAGGGUUGGAGAACCAUCGGGAAAAGAAGGAAAAGAAAAAAGGGGAGAAGGAAAAGAAUUUGGGGGGGGGGGGAGGAUAUCUGGGAUCGCUCUCUUUUUCUGGGAGGAAGGAGGGGAGAACUUCCCACAAAUAUCUCCAUAUCAGUGUCUUGGGUUCCUUAAUCUAAUCUGCUACUCUCUCUCUCUCCCCCUGUUGCGUUUCUUUCCCUCCAAAAUCAGGAGGUAGGCAAUUCUUCCAUUCCCCCUUACUUUUCUCUCAAAUUAAUCUGUUUAGAUUUUUAGUAUGAUGAUCAUUUGUUGCAUAAUUCACUUGAUAAUGAUAAUUUCAACUAUCUGGGUAGGUGAUCAUUCUAUUUUUUUCCUUUCGUUGUUUUCUUUCUUGGAUGUGAGGGUCUAGAAAUUAAUUGUUCAAUUUUUCAAUUGUUUGUUCCAAUUAUGCUCAGUAAGUUCGAGAGUCUUUUACCAUUUACAUGAAGGAGAUAUAUAUCAUAUUUGAUCAUCUAUCAUAUUUGAUCAUCCUGUGUAAGCCCAAUAAUUGAUCGAUUUCUCUGACAAAAUAAUGUAAUGUCAAGAAAAAUAUGGUGAAGUGCAUUUAGUUUUCGCAUGGUUCAUUAAUAAUUAAUUAAUAAACAUAAUACCUCCAUGAUGAGCACGAGUUUAUUAAAGUUAGAAUUGCUGUUAUUACAGCUUGGCAGCAUGACCUUUGGUAACUCGAAGAAAACCACCAAAGGAAAGGGAAAAGAUUAGUAGUUUGAUUAUAAGUAGUGUUUAGCUCUUCGAAAAUGUAUUUUGCACUCCAACCUAGUGUAUAAAAUAAAAAUAUAUGUGAGGCACAGAAUGUGGGUUUCGGACAUCGAAUUUGGAAAUUCAAGUCCCGUUUUCAGUAAUAUUAGUACAAAUCUUUUAGGUUGCUAAUUAAAGGUUAUGGAAUUUUGGCUGUGAUUGAAUAGAUUUGGUUAGUGGAUAUUGGUAAUUGUGGGUUCUUCUUGGAAAGACAAAAUUAAAUUAAAAAGACGAACUACAAAUGGCUUGAUCCCUAUUAAGGGUACGUAGGCAGUCUAACAAGAUGUUAGAUGCAGCCAUAAAGUGUACGACAAAUUACUACGCAAUUCGAGGCAUGGGAUGUGCUUUGUACUUAUUCCGGAGGCGGGUAUGUUAAAUAUAUGGUUAUCUGAUGAUGUAACAUGUCGAUCCUGGACGUAUGUGGGAAUCGAGGCGUAACAAUUUAGCCGUCACCGUCACAAUCCUAUGCAAUUCUAUCAACUACUUAUGAAUAUCCACAUACAUGCUUUGAAGGUUAGGUUUCCUAAUGCGUAUUUUCCUUGUGAUGUUCAAGAGAAUACGUAUGUCUAACAUGCAAUCCGUUUGUGAUGUUCAGAUCAAAUAUAAACAUGCAAGACUCAUUAAGUUUCGUGAAAACCCUCUAAAAAACCAUACAACCCUUAAGAGCGUGAUGUUCGCCUUAAGUGAACUUACAAUUACUAAUCACAAGAAGCCCUCUUCAAUUUCAAGGUAAUGUUCCAACAGAAAUUGCAUCAACUUACUUGUCUAAAUAUCCUAAUGGUGAUCAAUCAUUAAAAUAUAUAGAUAGUUUUAAUUCUAGUGAUUAAUAAUUCAAAGCAAGCAUGCAUUCGUUCAUAAGCAAAUUAAUAAAAGGGAUAUUUUGGAUGCGGUUCCUAAUCCUUAACAUUCUUUGAUUAAAACCUUAAUAGUAUUCAAAGUUUGAUCAAAGUCCAUUGACUUUGUACACCUCAUUAUAUUACUAUUAAUAUUAAUAUUUUUAUAGUUUUGACAUUAAUUGUUUGAUAUUUUAUGAGAUUUAUAAUCCUAUAAAUUUAAAAUUCCUCAUUAUAAUACUAUUAGAAACGGUUAUAAUAAAAAAAUUCAAACAUUUUGAUUGAAUAAAUGGUUAAAAACUAUGUAAGAAUAAGAAAUAAUAAAUGGCAAAAGAAUGUAUCCAUAGUGUUAGAAAAAAAGUGGUAUAUUUUACAAAACAAUUGGUACAUUUCACAUAUAACAAAGUGGUACAUUAAUAAAGAAGAAUGGAUACAUUAGAAAUAAAUUAGGGUACAGAUAAAAGUUUAAAAAUUAUGAAUACAAAUGAAUUUUUAAAAAUAUAGGCACUAAAAGAAAUUAAUACAUGAGUAUAAAAUAAAACUAAAAAGAAAAUACUACAAAUAAAAAAAAAUGUUGCAAAUUAAAAGUGGGUACAAACUAAAAAUAUAAAUAUAUGA
RNAcentral lists this long non-coding RNA (8624 nucleotides) under Malus domestica (apple). RNAcentral's name for it is "long non-coding RNA (MDOM_LNC010259)". The record is from RNAcentral. Lineage: Eukaryota; Viridiplantae; Streptophyta; Magnoliopsida; Rosales; Rosaceae.